This 232-nucleotide long non-coding RNA is filed under the name Elaeis guineensis (African oil palm). Its description in RNAcentral is "long non-coding RNA (EGUI_LNC011974)". The record is from RNAcentral. Lineage: Eukaryota; Viridiplantae; Streptophyta; Magnoliopsida; Arecales; Arecaceae.
CAUAAUCAUGAGUUGCCUUUAUUUUUGUUAGAUAGCUCACCCAAUAAGUUUUUUAAAGUAUUACCUGCAGUAAAAAUAAAUGAUACCAAUAUAAUAUAUAGAGCCAGUGGAGUAAUAAGAGAGAGUCAUUUUUGCUUUUGAUUAUAAAAAACUCCUCUACUACCAGCUAAAAAUAAAAUCCAUCGGUACCCAUCAGCUUUAAUACAUCAUAUGAGAACAAAAAAAAGAGGCC